AAAAUUUAAAAUUAUUAUACUAAAAUAGUAAAUAAUUAUUUAUUGAAACUUAAAUAAUUUGGCGGUAUUUUAGUUCAUUUAGAGGAAUCUGUUUAAUAAUUGAUAUUCCACGAUUAAAUUUACUUAAUUUAUAAUUUUGUAUAUCGUUGUUAUAAAAAUAUUUUUUAAUAAAAUUAAUAUUUAAAAAUUAUUAUAUGAAUUUAAAUCAGAUCAAGAUGCAGAUUAUAAUUAAGAAUAUAAUGGAUUACAAUAAAAUUAUUUAAAUGAAUAUUAAUUUGUAAAAAUUAAUUGAAAGUGGAUUUAAAUGUAAUUUUAUUUAUUUUAAUAAAAUGAUUAAAAAUUAAAAUAUGU
RNAcentral lists this ribosomal RNA (351 nucleotides) under Acrapex iringa. RNAcentral's name for it is "partial small subunit ribosomal RNA". Lineage: Eukaryota; Metazoa; Arthropoda; Insecta; Lepidoptera; Noctuidae. The record is from RNAcentral.